This 1050-nucleotide ribosomal RNA is filed under the name Stagonosporopsis cucurbitacearum. RNAcentral describes it as "SSU rRNA". It matches the Rfam family "Eukaryotic small subunit ribosomal RNA", at positions 76 to 1135 of the family's 1831-position model. The record is from RNAcentral. Lineage: Eukaryota; Fungi; Ascomycota; Dothideomycetes; Pleosporales; Didymellaceae.
AUACCGUGAAACUGCGAAUGGCUCAUUAAAUCAGUUAUCGUUUAUUUGAUAGUACCUUACUACUUGGAUAACCGUGGUAAUUCUAGAGCUAAUACAUGCUGAAAACCCCGACUUCGGGAGGGGUGUAUUUAUUAGAUAAAAAACCAACGCCCUUCGGGGCUUCUUGGUGAUUCAUGAUAACUUCACGGAUCGCAUGGCCUUGCGCCGGCGACGGUUCAUUCAAAUUUCUGCCCUAUCAACUUUCGAUGGUAAGGUAUUGGCUUACCAUGGUUUCAACGGGUAACGGGGAAUUAGGGUUCGAUUCCGGAGAGGGAGCCUGAGAAACGGCUACCACAUCCAAGGAAGGCAGCAGGCGCGCAAAUUACCCAAUCCCGACACGGGGAGGUAGUGACAAUAAAUACUGAUACAGGGCUCUUUUGGGUCUUGUAAUUGGAAUGAGUACAAUUUAAACCUCUUAACGAGGAACAAUUGGAUGGNNNNNNNNNNNNNNNNNNNNGCGGUAAUUCCAGCUCCAAUAGCGUAUAUUAAAGUUGUUGCAGUUAAAAAGCUCGUAGUUGAAACUUGGGCCUGGCUGGCAGGUCCGCCUCACCGCGUGUACUUGUCCGGCCGGGCCUUUCCUUCUGGAGAACCUCAUGCCCUUCACUGGGUGUGUUGGGGAACCAGGACUUUUACUUUGAAAAAAUUAGAGUGUUCAAAGCAGGCCUUUGCUCGAAUACGUUAGCAUGGAAUAAUAGAAUAGGACGUGCGGUCCUAUUUUGUUGGUUUCUAGGACCGCCGUAAUGAUUAAUAGGGACAGUCGGGGGCAUCAGUAUUCAAUUGUCAGAGGUGAAAUUCUUGGAUUUAUUGAAGACUAACUACUGCGAAAGCAUUUGCCAAGGAUGUUUUCAUUAAUCAGUGAACGAAAGUUAGGGGAUCGAAGACGAUCAGAUACCGUCGUAGUCUUAACCGUAAACUAUGCCGACUAGGGAUCGGGCGAUGUUCUUUUUCUGACUCGCUCGGCACCUUACGAGAAAUCAAAGUUUUUGGGUUCUGGGGGAGUAUGGUCGCAAG